AUUAGAUGUCAUGUCUAUGAGUGAGUAUGACAACUAGAACCGUAACCGGACCUUAAAAUCCUAAGUAUUGAAUCUUUGUAAGAAGAUACAAAGACAAAGACUCUUACGGACUUCGGCUACACUAUCAAUGCUUUGAGAAGAAAGAAGAAGCUUGGUUAGUGUUUUGGAUUCAAAUAUGACUUGAUGUCAUGUGUAUGACUGAGUAUAAAGACUAUAACCGCUACGGAUCUUAAAAGCCUAAGUACUGUAUCCUUGUUCGAAGAUACAAAGACAAAUACUCAUAUGCACUUCGGCUAAACCAUCAAAGCUUUGAAAAGCAAGAAGAAGCUUGGUUAGUGUUUUUGAGUGAAAUAUGACUAGAUGUCAUGUGUAACAGUGAGUAUAACAAUUAGAACCGCAAUUGGAUUUUAAAAGCCUAAGUAUUGUAUCCUUGUUAGAAGAUACAAAGACAAACACUCAUACGAACUUCGUCAACACCAUCAAAACUUUGAGAAGAAGAAGCUUGGUUAAUGUUUUGGAGUCGAAAAAUAACUUGAUGUGAUGUGUAUGAUUAAGUAUAAGAACUUAAACCGCAACCGGAGCUUAAAAGCCUAAGUAGUGUUUCCUUGAUAGAAGAUACAAAGGCAUAGACUCAUACGGAGUUUAGCUACACCAUCAAAGCUUUGAGAAGUAAGAAGAAGCUUGGUUACUGUUUAUGAGUCAAAUAUGACUAGAUGUCAUGUGUAUGAGUGAAUAUAACAACUAGAACCGCAAUUGGAUUUUAAAAGCCUAAGUAUUGUAUCCUUGUAAGAAGAUACAAAGAGAAACACUC
This 811-nucleotide small RNA is filed under the name Arabidopsis thaliana (thale cress). RNAcentral's name for it is "ATSL268710". Lineage: Eukaryota; Viridiplantae; Streptophyta; Magnoliopsida; Brassicales; Brassicaceae. The record is from RNAcentral.